Molecule: ribosomal RNA, 400 nt
Filed under: uncultured bacterium
Lineage: Bacteria
Description: bacterial SSU rRNA
Rfam family: Bacterial small subunit ribosomal RNA
Source: RNAcentral
GGGGAAUAUUGGACAAUGGGCGCAAGCCUGAUCCAGCAAUGCCGCGUGAGUGAUGAAGGCCUUAGGGUUGUAAAGCUCUUUUACCAGGGAUGAUAAUGACAGUACCUGGAGAAUAAGCUCCGGCUAACUCCGUGCCAGCAGCCGCGGUAAUACGGAGGGAGCUAGCGUUGUUCGGAAUUACUGGGCGUAAAGCGCACGUAGGCGGCUAGUCAAGUCAGGGGUGAAAUCCCGGGGCUCAACCCCGGAACUGCCCUUGAAACUGGUUAGCUAGAAUCUUGGAGAGGUCAGUGGAAUUCCGAGUGUAGAGGUGAAAUUCGUAGAUAUUCGGAAGAACACCAGUGGCGAAGGCGACUGACUGGACAAGUAUUGACGCUGAGGGGCGAAAGCGUGGGGAGCAAAC